AGGCUUUGGGAAAGAUCAUACCUGAAACCUGCCGGCCAUUAUACAAUGUCCUGAAAAUAAAGUAUUUUAAGUUUCCUCAAAACACACGAGACUGGAUGAUGGUUGCCGAACAAUUUGAUCGUUGGAAUUUGGGCGACCCUCUGAUGGGGGAACCUUUAAGGAUACUGAGUUCUUUGCCGGGCUGAAGGAUGGUAGACUGCAUUUGCCAAAGGCAGAAGACUCUUAAGCAUGGCAUGAACUUCGUCUUUGUUGCGCAUGAGGAAUUUGCUCUGGAGGAACAUCCUGAAACCUUUUCCACAAAGGGCUCUUAAUGAAGAGAAACAUGUUUUUUAAUUGUAGACUUUCCCAAGCCUGCCGCAUUGUCAAGAACACAUUCGGAAUUCUGUGCAGUCGUUUUAGGAUAUUUUGUACGACAAUCGAUUUAAAAGUGGAAAAAAUUGAUGCAGUUGUGUUGGCUUGUUGAGCGCUACAUAAUUACUUGAGGUGCAAGACCACUCAAACCAGGCCAACAGCAACCUCAAAUGACCCUGAACCAAUGGAGACGAAUGUGUCCGUGGCCCCUCUAGAAAAUUUGGAAAGAGCCAUGUCCUCUCAUGGUGCUACUAUCAAAGCAAAAUUGGUCCAUGAACAAUAUCUUGCUUACUUUAUUGGGAUUGGGGCAGUGUCUUGGCAAGCCAGCGCUAUUGCCUGAUUCUUUCAAAUGAACCUGAUUGUUGGUUUUUAAAUUUUAAACAUUUUCAAGGUCUUUAUAAAUUUGCAAAAAUGUCUGCAAAAUAAAGAUGUUUGGUUUCACCAUA
This is a long non-coding RNA of Pseudophryne corroboree (corroboree frog), 797 nucleotides long. RefSeq lists it as uncharacterized. Lineage: Eukaryota; Metazoa; Chordata; Amphibia; Anura; Myobatrachidae. The transcript has 2 exons. The record is from RefSeq and is a predicted model, not a curated record.